RNAcentral lists this long non-coding RNA (1082 nucleotides) under Olea europaea subsp. europaea. The record is from RNAcentral. Lineage: Eukaryota; Viridiplantae; Streptophyta; Magnoliopsida; Lamiales; Oleaceae.
UGGAAUAAUUUUCGAUACGAAAUCAGAAUAUAUCCACGUAAGGAUUCUGAAAAUAAACGAGAAAUCCAAAGUUUGUUCAAAGAUAAGAAAAUCUAAAGGGGGAUAAACUCCAUAAACCAUCAAAAUUUCCCAUUCUCAACCCGCUACACGAAAUCAGUUCAAAUCACCAAUAGAUUGAAGAGACACCAAAACACGAAGAGCAACAUCUGUGGCAAAGCAAGACAGAAAUAGCAGAAUAUCAAAAGCCCAAUCCUUCAGAAGAAUCUUGGCGUAAUUGUCCGUAUGUCUCUAUCAUCUUAUCAAGUAAUGAUGAUAUUUUCACGUUAGGAUUUACGCAAGAAACAAAAAGUUUUUGCAAAGAUAGGAGAAUCUGGGGGGAAACUCCAUUAGAGCAUAUAAUUUCUUCAAUGGGACCUUAAAAAAAUGGAAAAAUAGGAAAGAAAAAAAGCCCCUUUGUUUUGGAAAUUGAAUUCUGCACCCUAACAUAUGAAAUUAAUUGAUGUAUUUAUGGAUCCAUUGGGACUGACUGGUCUCGAAUCCCCAGCCUGGAAUAAUAAUCACGAUAUAUCAUCGCGUUAGGAUUCAAUAAUAAAUAAAUAUCCAAAAUUUUCAAUAAAAAUAAAAACUAUCUACACGGGAAGAACUCCAUCAAAUUUUCCACUCUCAAUAAGGUAAUUGAAAUAAGUUCAAAUUACGAAAAGAUUAAAAUUCACCAUAAUACCAAAAGAAGAAUACCGCCGAAGAAAGGAAGGAAGAAAGAAAACGGGCCAAAACCACCAAAGAAACAUAAAAGAAAACCCAAGAUCAAACCCAUCAUAAUCAAGAAAUUACCGGAAUACUUGUUCCUGGACCAGGCAAUCGCACCAAAAACCCAAUCCUUCUAAAAAUUAUUGGAAUAAUUGUUAAUAUAUCUAUCAUCAGACCUGGAAAUCACAGAAAAAAAAUGAUAAACUAAGAAUCCAAAGUUUUGGGAUUAAAAAAAUACGAGAAUCUAGAGGAAAAGAACUUAAGCAAUAUUGCCGAUUUAAAUUACCGAAACCCAACAAUGGAGAAACAAUGAGACAACCGUAUGACCAUCACCC